Molecule: long non-coding RNA, 1096 nt
Organism: Piliocolobus tephrosceles (Ugandan red Colobus)
Lineage: Eukaryota; Metazoa; Chordata; Mammalia; Primates; Cercopithecidae
Exons: 4
Source: RefSeq, a predicted model, not a curated record
UUUCACCUUCCGUCAUGAUUGUGAGGCCUCCCCAGCCACGUGAAACUGUUCAGGGGCUACAUGUGCAGGUUUAUUGCAUGGGGAAAUUUCAUGUCGCAUAGGUUUGGAGUAUGGAUUAUUUCAUCACCCAGAGGAAAAUGGUGACUAGGAGGCAGGACUAAGCUGCAUCUCCCACUUGGAUGGAAAAAGCAGCAGGUGGAGACUCACAUAGCAAACUUUUGCUCCAAGAACUACCCCAGGAAAAUACCGAGAAAGCCAAGAGAAUCCACAGACCCUUUGAAGGAAGCAGAUGGCUCCUGCAGGCCCCAGGAGGCAGCCCCCAAACUCCAGGAGGCUGGUAGCCUGAGGCAGAUUCUCAGCCCUGCUCAUCCACUGUCCGGAAACAAACUCCGUGCUGUUGAGGGAAGCACAGUAGGAAUGAGACUGGCCUUUUGAGCUGCGUGGGGAGCUGGGUGAGGGCUGUCAUUGCCAACUUUCCCCCACUUCCCUGACAACCUGCAUGACAUAGAAGAGGCAGGAAGAAUGCCCCCGGGAGCAUAACUCCCUUGGCCUGAAGAAUCAUGCCCCCAUCCCUCACAGCAGCCACAGCAAACCCCGGCCAAGGAGAGUUUGAGCUCAGACAGGCCUAACCCUGCUUCCACCUGUUGUUUUUCUCUAUCUGCCCUGGUAACCAACGACAAAAGACUUAUUCUCUUGGGAGCUCUAGGGCCCUACCCAGUGCCUGAUCCUCUCUAUACUAUCACAGCUGAUGCUCUCUUGAAGGCAGCACCUCCUGGCAGGAGGCCAACCAGCACAAAAAUCGUGCAGUAAACAAAACCACAACUCACAGUGUCCAUUUCAUUCCCCUGCCACCUCCACUAGAGCAGGCGCUUCUAUUCCCAGAUGAGAGAGAUGAAGACAGUUCACACUGCAGGACUCUGUGCAGACACCCCCUAGUACCAGCCUGGAGCCUGGUAGCUCCUCUGGGUGGUUAGACCAGAAAGAGGCAUAUCAAUUACUAUAGUUCAGCACGCAGGAAGCCACAUCCCUAGGAAAAGGGGGAGAGCCCUACAUCAAGGGAGCACCCUGCCCGGGCGUGGUGGCUCACGCCUGUAAU